Molecule: ribosomal RNA, 425 nt
Filed under: uncultured bacterium
Lineage: Bacteria
Description: partial 16S ribosomal RNA
Rfam family: Bacterial small subunit ribosomal RNA
Source: RNAcentral
GUGGGGAAUCUUGCGCAAUGGGCGAAAGCCUGACGCAGCCAUGCCGCGUGAAUGAUGAAGGUCUUAGGAUUGUAAAAUUCUUUCACCGGGGACGAUAAUGACGGUACCCGGAGAAGAAGCUCCGGCUAACUUCGUGCCAGCAGCCGCGGUAAUACGAAGGGGGCUAGCGUUGCUCGGAAUUACUGGGCGUAAAGGGCGCGUAGGCGGACAGCUUAGUCAGAGGUGAAAGCCCAGGGCUCAACCUUGGAAUUGCCUUUGAUACUGGCUGUCUUGAGUUUGGGAGAGGUGAGUGGAACUCCGAGUGUAGAGGUGAAAUUCGUAGAUAUUCGGAAGAACACCAGUGGCGAAGGCAGCUCACUAAGGCGAUACUGACGCUGAGGCACGAAAGCGUGGGGAUCGAACAGGAUUAGAAACCCCAGUAGUCC